Rattus norvegicus (Norway rat) is the source of this 7809-nucleotide non-coding RNA. Lineage: Eukaryota; Metazoa; Chordata; Mammalia; Rodentia; Muridae. The record is from RefSeq and is a predicted model, not a curated record.
GCAAGGUUUUCACUGAUAACCGCGACGCCUUACAAGUUCGACCUGCAAGUUCUUUCGGCAUAUCAGUGUCCAGCAGAUGGCGCCACAGCUGAAUUUUCUCCAGUUCUUGUGUACGCCAUGCUUGCAGAAGACUGGGGAAAAAAAAAAACCCAAGAGUUAAAAGAGAUAUCUUCCUUUUCAUCAUAUAAAGCCUCCUUUGUCGUGUCAGAGGCCCUUUUUAUAAGAAUUGGUGGAAUUAAAGUUGAGGUCUUUAAAAAAGUCGACUAAAACAAAAAAAAUGCAGGUUUUUUUUUAAGGAAUAUUAAAAAAAAUUUAAGGAAUAUUUGUUCAUUAGGCUUCCCACUUUUGUAAAAAGAAAAGAGGAUUUAUUUAUUAUCUUCAUGUACACGUACCACAUGUAGCUGUGUGAGUUUAUGUGCACCACCUGCAUAGAGGUUUGAAGUCACCCGAUCUCUUAGAACUGGAGUAACAGGCAGUUGUGAGCAGCGAGAAUGUGGGGGCUAUGGAGCCGGACCUCGUCCUCUCCGAGAUCAGUACGCGCUCUUUACUACCGAGCCGUCGCUCCAGUCCUAAGUAUUUGAGUGGGAACACGUGUGCAGGGCAAAGCACCACUGAUUGCGGUGUCGUGGUUUCCAAGUGUGUUCCAGGAUUACUCUCAGUGAGCAGGACCUGAACUGCAAGCGCUUUUCUCCACUGAGCCCUUUGGCCUGCCCACGUUUUCAAACAGUAGAAAUUGCCACGGGAGCUCGAUGGCGUUGAGGAUACAGCGCAGCGAUCGAAUUCUGGGCUAUGAUCAAUGCACGGCGUGUAAAUGUAUGAAACGUUAAAAGCAAGAAAAAAAAUGUUACUUAAAAAUGAGCCAUGGAGGUCCAAAAACCUAAGCAAUCGCCCAGGGUGACUUCCAAGGCGUGGCGGCGGUGAGCUCAUCCGCUGCGACGGAAAUGGCCACGGAGGAAGCCGGGCGGUGGCCGCAGCGCCGGGACAGCGCCGCCUGCUGGUCAAAGGCGACAGAGAGCUGGGCCCGCAGGGCGUGGACCCUGCACAUUCCAGAGAGCUCACAAGGACUUUAGGAGCCAGGGACAUAGCUUGAGCCGUCCCUCUGCCGGGACGAGAAGGUUCGAUGCCUGCUAUAGUCAGGGAAGACAAUCUCCCUGAGGGUUUUUUAGCGGUUUUAAUGGUUCCUAAAGCUAAAAGGGGUGAAUUUGAUUUGUAUAACGUUGUCACUUUAGACCACUCUAGUGGAGAAUGGAAAACAGAACCUAAUAGGGGUGCACUUUUAUUUUAUCCUGUCUCAAAGGGACUUGCCAAUUAUUAAAGAGGCUAUAAGGCAGGCUUUAAAUAUGAGCAGGGGGUUGCGUUUUAAAGGUAGAUGCGCUAGUCAUUUCUGCCUGAUAAUUUUAUUCUAGGAAGAUUGCAGUGAGGUUUCUGGAGUCCCGCCUCCUCUCCCCACUUCCGUUUUCUCUCCCCUCAUUUGGCAAGAGCCUCUGCACCCAUCUCCUUAGAACACGUCGUCGUCAUCCACUGGAAGAGAGGAUUGUGGUACCACCUUUUCCUCCUAUGGCUGAAGCCGGCAGAAAGAUGACGGAUCGCUAUCUGCUCUUCAGCCUGCCUGGUUGCCGGGAAGCCAGCAGGAUGAUGCUAAGGCAGCUCUUACUGUGCUGCCUCUCAUUAGGCAGCAGGUGCUGUCUCAUGGACAACCCUGCGUUCUCAUUAUUCAGUGAUUAGGUCUUCCUUAGUCCCUUCCACUCACAGCGAUUGCUUAAGAAUCUUUCGUAACUUUGUCUGACUUCUUGUUAAGAGAAUGAAGACCCACAGAUGGGCGAUUUCAUAGCACACUUGCCCCUGAAAUUAUGCAGAUGGCUGUCAGAGAUCUAUCAGAGAUCCCGGAAGGCCCUCGUGGCCACACUUCCGACCUAAACUCCGAACCCCUCUGAUGGGACUCUGGGAGGGACAGGCAUUGUCUUCAUCCUGUAUCCAUGCGGUAGCAAACGGUCUGUGGUCACAAAGGAGCCCUGGCUAGCUCAGCGGGGAACAAAACAGAACCAGUAGGAGGUUCUAGAGGUGGGAGGGAAACAGAGAAACUGGGCAAUAACAAUAAUCAAAAUGCACCAUGUAUAUAUUUAGAUGAUUUUUGUUUAUUUGAGAGAGGUCUUAUCAAGUAACACUGGAUGGCAUUUAAUCCAUAGAGCUUUAUCCUCCUGCCUCUGGAGAUGAAAGGCAUGUAUCUCCACGCCCAGUGUAUGAAAGUUCACUGCAGGAGAUGUAAAAGGAAUGCUAUUUCCUGGGUCCCUGUUUGACCUGAAGACUGAGAUUCUCGGCGCAGCCCAUCGAAUGAAAUAAAACACAAAGACCACCCUCAGGAAGAGGCAACUCGGUCCAGAUCCUAAACUGAAGCUGAAUCGGGAAAGAGUCGCCAGAGCCCUCCCUCUCUUCGGCCAUCCCACCCUUUGCCGUUUUUUCAUUUGCAAACUCAGUGUGCAGAGCCUGAGGUAACCUCGGAGGAAAAAACUGUUACACUGGGAAGAAGUCUGCAGUGCGGACUGGGUGUGGCACUGAAACACCGGUCAUUUUCUCUUUCAAAACAAACGAUCUUUGCCUCCCCCCCCCCCCCCAGCUAAGGACUGAACCCAGGGCCUUCUCUACCACUGAGCUAAAUCCCCAACCCCUCUUUGCAUUUUUUUAAAUUGUAUUUACUGCUAUUGUUUGUGUAAGAGGUGGGUGUUAGAGCAAAGAGCUGGUGAAAUAUCUGACCUAGGCCCACAUUCGGACAAAGCACCCCAAACCAACAUGAUUCCAUGUGGAAAGGCUUAAAGAGAGAAGAAGAGUAGAAAAGGGGAGAAGCAAGGAGGCCGGCCAUGGGCACGUGGAGGGAAGAGGGGAGGGGAGGAUGGAGAGAGAAGGGAUGAAGGGGAAGAGGGCAAGAGGAGUGGCCAAGUAGCCCCUUAUAUAGAGUCAGGCAUACCUGGCUGUUGCCAGGCAACUGGGGCGGAGCAUACCUGGCUGUUGCCAGGUAGCUGUGGGGAUGGAGCUUAGACAGAAUGCUAACACAGAGGCUCAAUCUUUCAGUUAGGUGGAGUCUGUCUUUUAGCCAAGGGGCCAUCACUAGGCCUCCUUAGACCAUGAUAAAGAGACUCACAUCGUAAUUUAACAGUUCUUUAAUGAGACACUAUAUUUUCUUCCCAGAAUCCACCCCUAGUGCAGCAGCUUGCAGGGCUGUGGAACCACAGCCAGGUACUAUUCUGAAUUAUUCAGAAAAACGUAACUUCUCCUGCUCUUCUCUUUUCUAAGCACGUUUUGCUUCACACUGCCCCCCACACCCCCCCUGCGUUUCCCUCCUUUCUCUAAAGUCUCCAGAGCACCACGUGGCUCCUUGUUCCCCAUGUCCGACCUGACACAAACGACAUGGGCUUUUUAUUGUUAUUAGUUUCCUUUCGGCCCACCCUGGAGCUGCUGAAACUUAUAACUGGUCCGCCUUGGUUUGUUGUUGAUGUUGUUUUUUAACUCUAAAAAGAAUCCAUUCUCAGAUCGUAAGUUCUUGUAUCACUGCAGGGCUGUGGUGAUGUGUUGAUAAAAAGAUAAAGAGAGGGGGAUAUGUUCUAUGGAGGUGUGGUGAGGUGUUGGGGAAGGGUUUCUGCUAACCUGCGGGCUCAUGCUGAGUCAUCCCUUGCCCUGAGAGACCAGCCACACGACCCGUAUAGUAUAGAAGAGAAUUCAUUCAGGGCACGGGGAGGGGGGUUGAAAGGGUAGUAGGGGCAGAGAAAGAGAGAGAGAGAGAGAAAAGUAGUAGAAGCCGGCUAUGAGCAUGUAGGAGUUCGGGGGUGGGGAAGGGAAUGGGGAGAGAAGGGACAAAGGGGAGAAAGAGGGUAAGAGAGCAAGAGGGGGCAAGCGGCCCCUUUUAUAGUGACAGGCAUAACUGCUGUAACCAGAUAACUGGGGCAGAGCCUAGACAGAAAGCUAACAUGUGUAAGGCAUGUAGAUGUGAGGCCCGUUUUUUUUUUCUGCUAACCUGUAACAUGGGGAGGAGAGAAGUCUCUCUGUUUUGGCCAAACUAUUAUUAAAUGUACUUUCUUUUACCAGUUUCUUUGGAAUAUAGAGGGACUGAGGCAAUGGUUUAUCAACCUAUGCACCUUAUAACAGUGGUGUUGCUAGUGUCCAACUGCUUAACUCAACAACUAUACACUGUUCGGUUUCAGACCCCAAGACAAGGCACUGAGCUGCAUAUUUUACAUACCAAAGUAGACCAGCCCUCCAGGUUCUCCCAGCAUUCCUCAGUCCCUACCUGGCAUACCCUGCCCCCAACCCUAAACUUUCCAGCCCAGGGGUUGGGCUGCCCUUCCCCAAGGACUCUUCCCUAUAUAGUCCAAACAUUUUGUGCUCUCUCUCUUUCUCUCUUUCCUUCUCCCUCUCCCCCUUCUCUCCCCUUGGCAACUCCCCUGGCUUUAGUGCUUGGGGCCAGCGAGUUCCCCCUAAUAAACCUGCCUUCAGUAUAACCUAAUCUGGCUUGAACUGGCUCAGUUCACAAGCAGCAGAGAAUUAACUUAUCACACACCAUCAGAGAAAUUUGUCUGCUAAGAAAUCUCUUCAGUGUCAGGAGGCAGAGACAAUGACUCUCUGUGGGUUUAGGAACAGCCAGGGCUACACAAAGAAAUCCUUUCUGGGGGGCCCAGGCUAGAAAGGAGAAGGAAGAAGAGAAAUCUCUUUCAGUGUAAAAAGGGGGCUUUUUUUAGCACACUGUUUUCACAUAAUUAGUUGGUUUUCUUAUAAAAGUAAUCUAACCUGGGCAUGGUGGGGCACACUUAGCACUCUGGUCGCCAAAGCAGUAGGGUGUCAUGUUCAAGGCCACCCUGGUUACAAGGUAAAAACCCUGUCAAAGAAACAAUAGAAAAAAAAAAAGGUAGAGCUUUUGCAGUGCAUGCUACAGACUUCAACCCCUAAUACCCCAAGUCAAUAAAUAACACACAAAACCAAAAGAAUAUUUUAACAUUGUCCCUUUAAAAGAAAGCCAUUCCGAAUUGUUUCUCUCUGAGCUAAGCCUGGAAUUAAGGCAAAGGGGCUUGGCUCAGGCCUCGGGCUCUGUCACAUUCCCCGGAACACUUGGCCCAUCUGCUGCCUGACUCAGACCAAAAUUCACAUGUGGCUCCAGCUCUUGACAGCUGAAGUCGUCUUUUUUUGUUGAAUUGGAAUUUCAGUUUGGGGCUGGCUGGGAUGAGUUCACACACACACACACACACACACACACACACACACACACACACACCCUAAAAACAGGUUCUGUGGGUUAGAGAAAUCUCUCUGAGCUGAGAGGGAUAGGCAGACUUUUUUUUUUUUUUUUUCCGGAGCUGGGGACCGAACCCAGGGCCUUGCGCUUGCUAGGCAAGCACUCUACCACUGAGCUAAAUCCCCAACCCCAGGCAGACAUUUUUAAAACGACUCAGGUUUAUUACUUGGACUUCCCCCACACCCCCCAAAUCAGGCUCCUUUCCUACGUAUGCCGGCUCAUUGCUCCUGUGAGUUUUAGUUCCUACCAAGUUUCAUCUGCCUGCUAGAUAUCCGCUUGCGCUGUGCCCACAACAAUGGAAUAUUUGCGUGCUCCAGUGCUUCUGAGAGAGCUAAGCAGCAGGAGACAAGCUGCCUGCAGCUGCUCCAGCCCUCCUCUCAGCCCUCCUCCCAGAGACUCUCCGGAGGCUCCCCUUUCGGAUUCGAGCCCCAGCUAGAACAAUAAGCCGAUGUCACAGGCUUAUCUUUACCUUCUCAGUUAAAGAAAAAGGUUGAUAAAAAAUUUUCAUAAUCUGAAAAAAAUUAUUAAAAGUCACAGGUGGUGACAUGCAGAGGGUAUCCGGGGAAUUCAUCCAGGGAAUUAAUCAGGUGUGCUGCACUAGUCCGGUGUGAUGGCGUAAGCUUGUAACCCCAGCACUCAGGAGGCAGAAGUAGGAAAUUCAAGAGUUCAAAGACAGGAUACCCUCCCCCGCGCGGCACCCCACCCCAACUCCUUGAGGUCAUCUCAAAAAGAAAUAAAACAACUAAGAAAAGCAUUAGACAGUGAAUGUCGGCUAAUCCCACGUUUAUACCACACUGUCAGCAUAGUACAAUACCCCAUACAUCAUUUAUGCCCAAAAUAUACUAAGUGCUUUCCAUUCACAGAUUAUCUCAUUUAGAAACGCAGGCCGCGACACGAGUGCUGCUGUGAGGAUUUUAGGACGGGGCACUUGGAACAAAUCAGACAUUACGAUUACCCUAUUUUAUAUGUAACAGACGUCACACAAGAAACACCACAAGCUCCUCAACAGUGGUCCCAGCUGCCGUUCUCCAGGGCCUCUAAUUUAGUUUUGUGGUUGCUGUUGUUUCUGUUUGGUUUGGUUUUGGACAGGGUCUCCCGGUAUCGGACAGGCUGGCUUCUUCACUCUACCAAGGAUUUGGAUCACAGGUGGGCAUCAUCAUUUCUGUCCUCCAGGAGCUUCAAGGCUGCCGACCACACCCAUAGCGCCAUUCAUGAGCCCUUCUUUGAGCCUCAGUUAAGUGCUUCCUCUGAAAGACCAGCCCCGCCCCCCUGAGAAGUGAAAGCACUCAGUACACCAGGUUUGCCAUCGAUCCCUAUGCUACCUCACUUCGUCUUUACAACAUUGUCAUCGUGAGUCGGUCACUACUACCUCAAGUGAAACGAAUAAAAGACCAGAGAGUGUGGGUUAACUACCCGGAGGCAGGGGGCUGACGAUAAUGGCGAGAACAAAGCGCGCCUGCGCUGGGACUCUCUUUGAGCUCACAGUGCAGAUACCGGCCGCCUGCUACUUCCCUUUCCUCUGUGUUGUUAGUAACACUCCAGUCAGCCAUAACGCGGAUGCCUGUUUUCAACACGCCCCGUGAAUACAAACCCAGUUAGAUGUUGUUGACUUGUGCCAUGAAGUCAUUUCAAGAGUGAAAACAAGCGAAAGCGGUUCUGAAGCUGGCCGCACAACAGCUGGGAGGAAGAGGCGGAAACAUUUAAAAGGAGCUCGGUAGGGCACGGGUAGGAAAAGGGCUCUUCAAACAGAAAAUACAGCAUGGCGCCGUUUCUGUUUUUAAAAGUCACACAGAACAAUGACACACUUAUACACAUACAUCCAUGAUGACCGAAGGAGAAAUGUGGGGAAUCUUGGUUCUCUGGGCGGGGGCCGGGCUCGCGGUGAGAGAGUAGUGAUAUUUUGCAAGGUUUAUUAACGUAAUGGGUGUGUGAGAGGAAGGGGACAAAGGACUGGGUGGGGCGGGCAAAGACGCUGUCAGAAAAUAGAUCAGAAUAAAAAAAAUCUAAUAAACAUUUUUUGAAAAGAAAAUAGAAGAUUAACCACGAGCUGUAAUGGGAGUGGCGUGAACACACCAGGCUAAAGCCACCGUCUGUGUCCAUAGAGACAGAUAGAUGUUGGCUCGGCUUAACGUCUCAUCGUGAAUUCAAUGGUUUUUAAUAUUUAAUGUUUCUUAAGUCAAUCGGAAAGGUUCUCAAGUGUGGCUCUUGGAACGGGACCAGCCCGGACUGGGGGAGGCCUGACUCUGUUCCUUUGUGUUGUUGAACUAAUUUCCUUAUCUACUGAGUUGAGAGAAUAGAAAGAAACAGGUUCCUGAAAGUGCUGUGAGGAUUAAAUGGACAAUCGCUCAGGCCACUGGAACUUGUGGGUCCCCGCCUGGCUGCUCUCUCUUGCCCCACCCCAGUCCUUCACCCUCACCUGAUUUUUAAUUUUAUCUUUGUAAGAUACCCAAAUGUCCACCCUGAGAACAUUUGUUCAUGACUAAAUGCCCACACGAUGCCAAGUUAAAUGAAUAAAGCAUUGGAAUCUGAUA